RNAcentral lists this ribosomal RNA (254 nucleotides) under uncultured prokaryote. Its description in RNAcentral is "partial 16S ribosomal RNA". It matches the Rfam family "Bacterial small subunit ribosomal RNA", at positions 524 to 777 of the family's 1533-position model. The record is from RNAcentral.
UACGGAGGGAGCAAGCGUUACUCGGAAUUAUUGGGCGUAAAGGGCGCGUAGGCGAUCUGACAAGUCUGGUGUGAAAGCCCACAUGUUAACUGUGGAAGUGCAUUAGAAACUGUUGGAUUUGAGUUCAGGAGAGGAAGGCAGAAUUCCCGGUGUAGCGGUGAAAUGCGUAGAGAUCGGGAGGAAUACCAGUGGCGAAGGCGGCCUUCUGGACUGACACUGACGCUGAGGCGCGAAAGCCAGGGGAGCAAACGGGA